RNAcentral lists this long non-coding RNA (423 nucleotides) under Sorghum bicolor (sorghum). RNAcentral describes it as "long non-coding RNA (SBIC_LNC009815)". Lineage: Eukaryota; Viridiplantae; Streptophyta; Magnoliopsida; Poales; Poaceae. The record is from RNAcentral.
ACUUCUCCCUACCCGUCUCUUCGCUCGCCGUCGGCCGCCAGUGACGCCGCCGAGGUUACUCAUGGAACCAACCAUACCUUCCGCUCUGGCUCUUCUCGUGGAGGAGCCAUCGUCUCUUCGCCAUUGCCUUCGUGGUCACCUAUGGUACCUAACCAUUCUCGCGGAGCCGCCGCUGUCUCUUCGCCAUUGCCUUCGUGGUCACCUAUGGUACCUAACCAUUCUCGCGGAGCCGCCGCUGUCUCUUCGCCAUUGCCUUCGUCCUCACCUAUGGUACCUAACCAUUCUCGCGGAGCCGCCGCUGUCUCUUCGCCAUUGCCUUCGUCCUCCCCUUUGGUGCCCUAGCUCUACUGAACUCACCCUCAGAGACCCACCAUGAACAUGAACAAUUUGCAUCCUCCCCUGUCCUGGCCGCCGCAAUCUCAU